GACUAUGGCCAUGCUACCCUGAACAAGCCCUGUUUCGUCUGAUCUUGGAAGCUAAGCAAGGUAAGGCCUGGUUAGUACUUGGUUGGGAGACCACCUAGGAAGACCAGGUACUGUAGGCU
RNAcentral lists this ribosomal RNA (119 nucleotides) under Pteropus alecto (black flying fox). Lineage: Eukaryota; Metazoa; Chordata; Mammalia; Chiroptera; Pteropodidae. The record is from RNAcentral.